CAGUAGCCGCGGGAAUACGUAGGUCCCGGGCGUUGUCCGGAUUUAUUGGGCGUAAAGCGAGCGCAGGCGGUUAGAUAAGUCUGAAGUUAAAGGCUGUGGCUUAACCAUAGUACGCUUUGGAAACUGUUUAACUUGAGUGCAAGAGGGGAGAGUGGAAUUCCAUGUGUAGCGGUGAAAUGCGUAGAUAUAUGGAGGAACACCGGUGGCGAAAGCGGCUCUCUGGCUUGUAACUGACGCUGAGGCUCGAAAGCGUGGGGAGCAAACAGGAUUAGAUACCCGUGUAGUCCCUGCCUCUUAUACA
Molecule: ribosomal RNA, 301 nt
Filed under: uncultured bacterium
Lineage: Bacteria
Description: partial 16S ribosomal RNA
Rfam family: Bacterial small subunit ribosomal RNA
Source: RNAcentral